Molecule: ribosomal RNA, 500 nt
Filed under: uncultured Glomeromycotina
Lineage: Eukaryota; Fungi; Glomeromycota
Description: partial small subunit ribosomal RNA
Rfam family: Eukaryotic small subunit ribosomal RNA
Source: RNAcentral
CCAAUAGCGUAUAUUAAAGUUGUUGCAGUUAAAAAGCUCGUAGUUGAAUUUCGGGGUCAGUAGUUUGGUCGUGCCACUGGUAUGUACUGGGCUCACUGAUUCCUCCUUCCUGAUGAACCGUAAUGCCAUUAAUUUGGUGUUGCGGGGAAACUGGACUGUUACUUUGAAAAAAUUAGAGUGUUUAAAGCAAGCUAACGCUUGAAUACAUUAGCAUGGAAUAAUGAAAUAGGACGUUCGAUCCUAUUUUGUUGGUUUCUAGGAUUGACGUAAUGAUUAAUAGGGAUAGUUGGGGGCAUUAGUAUUCAAUUGUCAGAGGUGAAAUUCUUGGAUUUAUUGAAGACUAACUACUGCGAAAGCAUUUGCCAAGGAUGUUUUCAUUAAUCAAGAACGAAAGUUAGGGGAUCGAAGACGAUCAGAUACCGUCGUAGUCUUAACCAUAAACUAUGCCGACUAGGGAUCGGAUGAUGUUAAUUUUUUAAUGACUCAUUCGGCGCCUUACG